CCUACGGGGGGCUGCAGUGGGGAAUAUUGCACAAUGGGGGAAACCCUGAUGCAGCGACGCCGCGUGAGUGAAGAAGUAUUUCGGUACGUAAAGCUCUAUCAGCAGGGAAGAAAAUGACGGUACCUGACUAAGAAGCCCCGGCUAACUACGUGCCAGCAGCCGCGGUAAUACGUAGGGGGCAAGCGUUAUCCGGAUUUACUGGGUGUAAAGGGAGCGUAGACGGCAGCGCAAGUCUGGAGUGAAAUCCCAUGGCUUAACCAUGGAACUGCUUUGGAAACUGUGCAGCUAGAGUGCAGGAGAGGUAAGCGGAAUUCCUAGUGUAGCGGUGAAAUGCGUAGAUAUUAGGAGGAACACCAGUGGCGAAGGCGGCUUACUGGACUGUAACUGACGUUGAGGCUCGAAAGCGUGGAGAGCAAACAGGAUUAGAUACCCUAGUAGUC
RNAcentral lists this ribosomal RNA (440 nucleotides) under uncultured bacterium. RNAcentral's name for it is "partial 16S ribosomal RNA". It matches the Rfam family "Bacterial small subunit ribosomal RNA", at positions 338 to 795 of the family's 1533-position model. The record is from RNAcentral.